RNAcentral lists this ribosomal RNA (918 nucleotides) under uncultured bacterium. RNAcentral's name for it is "bacterial SSU rRNA". It matches the Rfam family "Bacterial small subunit ribosomal RNA", at positions 8 to 916 of the family's 1533-position model. The record is from RNAcentral.
AGAGUUUGAUCCUGGCUCAGAUUGAACGCUGGCGGCAGGCCUAACACAUGCAAGUCGAGCGGAAACGAAGAGGUGCUUGCACCUCUGGCGUCGAGCGGCGGACGGGUGAGUAAUGCCUAGGGAUCUGCCCAGUCGAGGGGGAUAACCAUUGGAAACGAUGGCUAAUACCGCAUACGCCCUACGGGGGAAAGAAGGGGACCUUCGGGCCUUUCGCGAUUGGAUGAACCUAGGUGGGAUUAGCUAGUUGGUAAGGUAAUGGCUUACCAAGGCGACGAUCCCUAGCUGGUUUGAGAGGAUGAUCAGCCACACUGGAACUGAGACACGGUCCAGACUCCUACGGGAGGCAGCAGUGGGGAAUAUUGCACAAUGGGCGCAAGCCUGAUGCAGCCAUGCCGCGUGUGUGAAGAAGGCCUUCGGGUUGUAAAGCACUUUCAGUUGUGAGGAAAGGUUGGUAGUUAAUACCUGCCAGCUGUGACGUUAACAACAGAAGAAGCACCGGCUAACUCCGUGCCAGCAGCCGCGGUAAUACGGAGGGUGCGAGCGUUAAUCGGAAUUACUGGGCGUAAAGCGCACGCAGGCGGCUUGUUAAGCUAGAGGUGAAAGCCCCGCGCUCAACGUGGGAACUGCCUUUAGAACUGGCAGGCUAGAGUCUUGGAGAGGGGAGUGGAAUUCCAGGUGUAGCGGUGAAAUGCGUAGAUAUCUGGAGGAACAUCAGUGGCGAAGGCGGCUCCCUGGCCAAAGACUGACGCUCAUGUGCGAAAGUGUGGGUAGCGAACAGGAUUAGAUACCCUGGUAGUCCACACCGUAAACGCUGUCUACUAGCUGUUUGUGUAUUUAAUACGUGAGUAGCGAAGCUAACGCGCUAAGUAGACCGCCUGGGGAGUACGGCCGCAAGGUUAAACUCAAAGGAAUUGACGG